RNAcentral lists this ribosomal RNA (223 nucleotides) under uncultured bacterium. RNAcentral describes it as "partial 16S ribosomal RNA". It matches the Rfam family "Bacterial small subunit ribosomal RNA", at positions 28 to 250 of the family's 1533-position model. The record is from RNAcentral.
GACGAACGCUGGCGGCGUGCUUAACACAUGCAAGUCGAGCGGUAAGGCCCUUUCGGGGGUACGACGAGCGGCGAACGGGUGAGUAACACGUGGGUGACCUGCCCUCAGCUCUGGGAUAAGCCUGGGAAACCGGGUCUAAUACUGGAUAUGACUCCAUGACGCAUGUUGGUGGGGUGGAAAGCCUUGUGCGGCUGAGGAUGGGCCCGCGGCCUAUCAGCUUGUU